UCUGUCAUCAGCCAAUCAGCGUCGACACGAGAUGAGCACCUGUCGGAUUCUGGCUGAAGGACUCUGUGAGUCAGCAGAGAGACGCUGAAUGUUCAUAAGUUCAUUAAACACUGUUUGAGUGUCUGUAGUUCUUUAAGUUAAAAGUCUGGACAAGUUUAGGAGCGAGUGAAGCGUGUGGCGGAGGAGCUGGGUUCCUUCUUCCACCAAGCCGCUGAAGGCCUUCGGGGAGACGGCCACACUUCUAUCCAGGGACCGUUUUCCCUCACAACUUGUUGAUGAUGCAAAUGUGUAAAAACACCUGGGGGCAGUCCAGGACAGAGCUGGACCUCCUCCAGAAUCCUGCACACUUCAGGACUUCAGUCUCCUCCCACUACUGGAAUAAUGAAGACAUUAAACCAGUGCAUUACUUUCACAAGCUGUUCUGCAAAGUCAACGAUCAAUUCACUCAUAAUUAUGAAAGUUAUUUUGGCCCCAGAGAGAACGAGAGGAAGUUUACCCAUGCUGUCAUUUUAAUUGCAUCCAGAUUUACCUUUCACAAUCUUAAAAAGCCCCACUGAGGACAGCAGAAGUUCAUUUGUCUUUGGGUUUUUGUUCCCGAGCCUCCGCCACAGUUUGCCAGCAGACAGGAUGUUGGCUGGGAAACGCAGCUUGACAACAGCUUUUUACUGACUUUAGCACUUUAUGCUUGUAAGCUACCAGGUGCUUUUGUGGAUUUAAAUACAGCAUAUGCAUCAUUUGUCUAUUUUAGAGAUUGAUUUUAUGAUGUCAGUAUCAUACGAGGCACACUAAUUCAAUUAAUAUUGAGGACUUUAAGAGGAUAGUACAAUGUAGAAUUGUUAUUAUGGUUCUUAUCUUUACUCGUCACGAGUUUAUGUCUGUCUUCAUGUUA
Larimichthys crocea (large yellow croaker) is the source of this 889-nucleotide long non-coding RNA. RefSeq lists it as uncharacterized. The transcript is spliced from 4 exons. The record is from RefSeq and is a predicted model, not a curated record. NCBI's taxonomy places the organism in Eukaryota, Metazoa, Chordata, Actinopteri, Sciaenidae.